GUAGGUGGCAAGCGUUGUCCGGAAUUAUUGGGCGUAAAGCGCGCGCAGGCGGUUCUUUAAGUCUGAUGUGAAAGCCCACGGCUCAACCGUGGAGGGUCAUUGGAAACUGGAGAACUUGAGUACAGAAGAGGAAAGCGGAAUUCCACGUGUAGCGGUGAAAUGCGUAGAGAUGUGGAGGAACACCAGUGGCGAAGGCGGCUUUUCUGGUCUGUAACUGACGCUGAGGCGCGAAAGCGUGGGGAGCAAACAGGGAUUAGAUACCCUGGUAGUCCACGCCGUAAACGAUGAGUGCUAAGUGUUACGGGGGUUUUCCGCCCCCUUAGUGCUGCAGCUAACGCAUUAAGCACUCCGCCUGGGGAGUACGCCGCAAGGCUG
RNAcentral lists this ribosomal RNA (375 nucleotides) under uncultured organism. RNAcentral describes it as "partial 16S ribosomal RNA". It matches the Rfam family "Bacterial small subunit ribosomal RNA", at positions 527 to 896 of the family's 1533-position model. The record is from RNAcentral.